RNAcentral lists this transfer RNA (57 nucleotides) under Ictidomys tridecemlineatus (thirteen-lined ground squirrel). RNAcentral describes it as "Spermophilus tridecemlineatus (thirteen-lined ground squirrel) tRNA". It matches the Rfam family "tRNA", at positions 8 to 63 of the family's 71-position model. Rfam says of the family: Transfer RNA (tRNA) molecules are approximately 80 nucleotides in length. Their secondary structure includes four short double-helical elements and three loops (D, anti-codon, and T loops). Lineage: Eukaryota; Metazoa; Chordata; Mammalia; Rodentia; Sciuridae. The record is from Rfam by way of RNAcentral.
UGGUUCAGUGGUAGAACACUUGCCUAGCAUGCAUGAGGCACUGGGUUUAAUCCCUAG